This 495-nucleotide ribosomal RNA is filed under the name uncultured bacterium. Its description in RNAcentral is "bacterial SSU rRNA". It matches the Rfam family "Bacterial small subunit ribosomal RNA", at positions 28 to 513 of the family's 1533-position model. The record is from RNAcentral.
GAUGAACGCUAGCUACAGGCUUAACACAUGCAAGUCGAGGGGCAGCGGGAUUGAAGCUUGCUUCAAUUGCCGGCGACCGGCGCACGGGUGAGUAACGCGUAUCCAACCUUCCGUACACUCAGGGAUAGCCUUUCGAAAGAAAGAUUAAUACCUGAUGGUAUGAUGAGAUUGCAUGAUAGCAUCAUUAAAGAUUUAUCGGUGUACGAUGGGGAUGCGUUCCAUUAGGUAGUAGGCGGGGUAACGGCCCACCUAGCCUACGAUGGAUAGGGGUUCUGAGAGGAAGGCCCCCCACAUUGGAACUGAGACACGGUCCAAACUCCUACGGGAGGCAGCAGUGAGGAAUAUUGGUCAAUGGACGAGAGUCUGAACCAGCCAAGUAGCGUGAAGGAUGAAGGUCUUACGGAUUGUAAACUUCUUUUAUAAGGGAAUAAACCCUCCACGUGUGGGAGCUUGUAUGUACCUUAUGAAUAAGCAUCGGCUAACUCCGUGCCAGCA